RNAcentral lists this ribosomal RNA (460 nucleotides) under uncultured bacterium. RNAcentral describes it as "partial 16S ribosomal RNA". It matches the Rfam family "Bacterial small subunit ribosomal RNA", at positions 338 to 795 of the family's 1533-position model. The record is from RNAcentral.
CCUACGGGAGGCAGCAGUGAGGAAUAUUGGUCAAUGGGCGAGAGCCUGAACCAGCCAAGUAGCGUGAAGGAUGACUGCCCUAUGGGUUGUAAACUUCUUUUAUAAAGGAAUAAAACGAGGCACGUGUGCCUUUUUGCAUGUACUUUAUGAAUAAGGAUCGGCUAACUUCGUGCCAGCAGCCGCGGUAAUACGGAGGAUCCGAGCGUUACCCGGAUUUAUUGGGUGUAAAGGGAGCGUAGAUGGGUUGUUAAGUCAGUUGUGAAAGUUUGCGGCUCAACCGUAAAAUUGCAAUUGAUACUGGCAGACUUGAGUACAGUUGAGGUAGGCGGAAUUCGAGGUGUAGCGGUGAAAUGCUUAGAUAUCACGAAGAACACCGAUUGCGAAGGCAGCUUACUAAACUGAGACUGACAUUGAUGCUCGAAAGUGUGGGUAUCAAACAGGAUUAGAUACCCGAGUAGUC